AAGUCGAGCGGUAGAGAGAAGCUUGCUUCUCUUGAGAAAGAGAGGACGGGUGAGUAAUGCCUAGGAAUCUGCCUGGUAGUGGGGGAUAACGUUCGGAGACGGACGCUGGUACCGCAUACGUCCUGCGGGAGAAAGCAGGGGACCUUCGGGCCUUGCGCUAUCAGAUGAGCCUAGGUCGGAUUAGCUAGUUGGUGAGGUAAUGGCUCGCCAAGGGUACGAUCCGUAACUGGUCUGAGAGGAGGAUCAGUCACACUGGAAGGGAGACAGGGUCCAGCCUCCUACGGGAGGCAGGAGUGGGGAAUAUUGGACAAUGGG
This 315-nucleotide ribosomal RNA is filed under the name uncultured bacterium. Its description in RNAcentral is "bacterial SSU rRNA". It matches the Rfam family "Bacterial small subunit ribosomal RNA", at positions 59 to 375 of the family's 1533-position model. The record is from RNAcentral.